This is a long non-coding RNA of Alligator sinensis (Chinese alligator), 356 nucleotides long. RefSeq lists it as uncharacterized. The transcript has 3 exons. NCBI's taxonomy places the organism in Eukaryota, Metazoa, Chordata, Crocodylia, Alligatoridae. The record is from RefSeq and is a predicted model, not a curated record.
AGGUGUUCCAGGACUUCUUUAUGUGGGCUCCUUCUGCUGGUGUAUUCUGGAGGAAAAACUGACUCAGUGUAGAUGCAAAUGCAAUACCCAAGAUGAUGUUCACAAAAGAUGAGGCUCCAACUGAGUUACACCGAGGUAUUCUGGGAACUUCUCAUGCUUAACCUCUUCUUCACAGAUAGUGAUGUGCCCGGUGGCAGCCCCAGGAAAAGAACCCACUGUUCCCAGGUCAUGGGGACCAGCUGCCUCAAGUGUGAGAAAAGGAAGGCAUGGAAGAGCUGCCAGUGGGAGUAGAAGAAGAAAAUUUGGCUUUGGGCCAUUUGUUUUGCUGCUGUAUUUUGCAUAAAGGAAGUCUAAAA